Molecule: non-coding RNA, 48 nt
Filed under: Schistosoma mattheei
Lineage: Eukaryota; Metazoa; Platyhelminthes; Trematoda; Strigeidida; Schistosomatidae
Source: RNAcentral
AUCCAGUUGACGAGUACCAAAUAGGACGAAACUUGUGUCAAACUGGAU